AGCUGGGGAUGUUCAGCCUGGAGAAGAGGAGGCUCAGGGGAGACCUCAUCACUCUCUACAACUAUCUGAAUGGAGGUUGUAGCCAGGCAAGUCUUGGUCUCUUCUCCCAGGCAACCAGCAGUAGGACAAGAGGGCACAAUCUUAAGCUCUGUCAGGGGAAGUUUAGGUUGGAUAUUAGGAAGACAUUUUUUAC
Chiroxiphia lanceolata (lance-tailed manakin) is the source of this 193-nucleotide long non-coding RNA. RefSeq lists it as uncharacterized. The record is from RefSeq and is a predicted model, not a curated record. The transcript has 3 exons. NCBI's taxonomy places the organism in Eukaryota, Metazoa, Chordata, Aves, Passeriformes, Pipridae.